This is a non-coding RNA of Salmo salar (Atlantic salmon), 2418 nucleotides long. The record is from RefSeq and is a predicted model, not a curated record. Lineage: Eukaryota; Metazoa; Chordata; Actinopteri; Salmoniformes; Salmonidae.
AAUAAAACCCUCUCUAUGGCCAGGGCGUGACAAAAUGUCAUUACAUACCAGACAUUUUUAGUAUAUUCUCAGCCAUUUCUUUUCGCAGUUGCUCCAUGUGUUUUUGUGAAGGUUCUAUAUCAAUUUGGGAGGGGAUGUUGGGGAAGUUAUGUGCAUCUUCCUUGGCCAUCUACACCAAAAAAAUUGUGUAGGCGUUAAGCGCACGCAAAUGUGCAUGCAGGCGGUUCAACAUGUGCUAAAUAAACGGCUGCAAGCGGUCCUGCACACGUCAAGUUGAGGCCUACAGCUGCUAAAUAUACACCUACACACGGUAACUUAAUGCGUUCCUUAAUAUGCUAAUUUUACUAGCCAAUUUCCCUAGCUCCUCCUUUCAAACAGGUUUCAAUAAUCAGUGUACAGUCAGUUUGAUGCAACAACAUCCAAUUGAAGAUGGCACUUCCUUAUCCGCUGCAAAUAGACCCUAAAUGACUGCACUUGGCUUCUGCUCUCUGAUAAUCCUGAACUUGAUGCCCUUGAGUCCACGUUAACAAGGUUGAUUAUUUUUAAAUACUACUAUGAAUGAUAAAGUUGAUCCGCACACCCCAGCCAUUGCCGCAGUGAACGGCGCAGUCUUGUAACAUUUUUACAGCCCAGCUAGCUACAUAAAGGUGAUUUAUUGUCGAGGAGUAGUGACGUGAAACAUGUUUUUGUAUUUUUAGGCAUUUUUUGUAUUUUCAGGCUGGCUAGCUAUAAUUGCAAUGCCACCUAGCCUUAGCCGUGCUAGCUCGCGAUUAGCAUGAAAACAUUUACAAAACUCACAUAAAGCUCAUUUGACCUAAGACAACCCUGUAAAAACAUUACUAAAAUCUACAACAUACCAGCUUUCCAACAGUACAGAUAUUACUUUUGAAUACCCUUUGAAAUGUUAAUAUUUAAUCUAAGCCUAUGGUGCAGAAAUGAACAACUUCAGAACCAGGAACGUUAACGUUAGUACUAUGGCACAGUUUUAACAGGAAUCGCAGUUCAUUCAGGAGAUUCGUUCGUCUGGCUGGCAUGCACAACAAGCCAGUUCUGGUCACCGGCUCCUCGGACUUGGAGAGGAGCUAGAGGUGCACCUUGUUAUGCCAUCACUCAAGAGCAACAGGUUUCUGAUGUCCAGUGCUUUCAGUGUGUCUCAGAUGGCAGAUAUUCAACAUGUGUCCUGAUCAACACUCAAACGUCGUCUAAGUUCAGUUGUUCUUGGGCGUAAUGCUAUAAACUACAGACUUUAUAUGCAUGGUUUCCAGUUUCAUACCAAUCAAACAAUUUAGAAUGACUAUAAUCAAGACGGGACUUUAAAAUGACUAUGAUGAUAUACAUUACCUCAUCUCUGUCCAUUGUUACAAAUUUCCCAGACACUUCAAUCUGUCACAUGCACCAUUAUAUUCUGACAUGUCAGACUUGGCUCUGGAUGUAAAGAUGAAGGACUUGGUGGCUGGGAACGACGACCUUGGACCGGAGGCUGUUCGAGCACUCACGUUUUUGAAAUGUGUAAGCCUUUAAAUGACCUUUUACAGACUACUUCUACAAACGAGGCUACACUUGUGGCAGCACCUAUUCCUGUGGCCCCCCCAUCUUCUGCACCACUUCCUGUGGCCUCCCCUCCACCAUUCCCUGAGGCUUAUCGUCCACCUUCACCACACUCUUCUGUUGAUGUUGGUGAUGACAAUGAUGUUGACCUCCAAACACUGCUGAAGUUAAUGAGAUGCCAACCAAAUGAACGUGGUGAGGGACAACGUUUAUGAUUGUGCAAUGAGAGGCUUCAAGAGAGCCCGCUUUAAUCAGGAGGCAAAAAUUGACACGUUUUUUAGGGAUGCUGACGGUAAAGGGGCAGCUGAUGAGGGUGGUCCCUCAUGAGAAUUUCCCCAGCUGCUAAUGAGUGCCAUCCAUUCCUCUGCAAUAUUUGAGGGACCUGAUUGACAAAAAUGCCUUUCUUGCAACUCUCAAGCACUCUAUGAUGGCGUAUACAAGCAGGUGGGCCGCAUGAUUGCUGUCUGUCUGGUACAUGGGGGUGUAGAGACACCAUUUUUUCAGAGAGGCUAUACAGGCAAGUGUGUGGCCUAAAACCUCCUGUGCCAGAACUGAAAGAAAUUGCGGAAUAUGACUUCAGAGAGAAGUUGGAGAAGGGGGGAACACAUACUCUUUAACCAUGGAGAAGGUUUUCGUUUUCACUUCAGGGGCUUCAGCAUUCCUAGGCUGGGAUUGCCAGUGGAGCCACAACUACAGUUCUCUGCAACCGCACAGCAAGCGGUACCGGAGCGCCAAGUCUAGGUCCAAGAGGCUUCUAAACAGCUUCUACCCCCAAGCCAUAAGACUACUGAACAUCUAAUCAAAUGGCUACCCAGACUAUUUUCUGCUACUCUAUCUAUGCAUAGUCACUUUAAUAUCUCUACCUAUAUG